Molecule: ribosomal RNA, 370 nt
Filed under: uncultured organism
Description: bacterial SSU rRNA
Rfam family: Bacterial small subunit ribosomal RNA
Source: RNAcentral
CGUAGGGUGCAAGCGUUAAUCGGAAUUACUGGGCGUAAAGCGUGCGCAGGCGGUUAUGUAAGACAGAGGUGAAAUCCCCGGGCUCAACCUGGGAACUGCCUUUGUGACUGCAUAGCUAGAGUACGGCAGAGGGGGAUGGAAUUCCGCGUGUAGCAGUGAAAUGCGUAGAUAUGCGGAGGAACACCGAUGGCGAAGGCAAUCCCCUGGGCCUGUACUGACGCUCAUGCACGAAAGCGUGGGGAGCAAACAGGAUUAGAUACCCUGGUAGUCCACGCCCUAAACGAUGUCAACUGGUUGUUGGGUCUUCACUGACUCAGUAACGAAGCUAACGCGUGAAGUUGACCGCCUGGGGAGUACGGCCGCAAGGUUG